AGAGAGGUGGCCGAGUGGUCGAAGGCGCACGCCUGGAAAGUGUGUAUACGCCACAAGCGUAUCGAGGGUUCGAAUCCCUUCCUCUCUGCUA
This 91-nucleotide transfer RNA is filed under the name Flavobacteriaceae bacterium. RNAcentral describes it as "tRNA-Ser". It matches the Rfam family "tRNA". Rfam says of the family: Transfer RNA (tRNA) molecules are approximately 80 nucleotides in length. The record is from RNAcentral. Lineage: Bacteria; Pseudomonadati; Bacteroidota; Flavobacteriia; Flavobacteriales; Flavobacteriaceae.